This 305-nucleotide ribosomal RNA is filed under the name uncultured bacterium. RNAcentral's name for it is "bacterial SSU rRNA". It matches the Rfam family "Bacterial small subunit ribosomal RNA", at positions 333 to 636 of the family's 1533-position model. The record is from RNAcentral.
UUUACCCUACGGGGCGCAGCAGUGAGGAAUAUUGGUCAAUGGUCGGGAGACUGAACCAGCCAAGCCGCGUGAGGGAGGAAGGUACAGAGUAUCGUAAACCUCUUUUGUCAGGGAACAAAGGCGGGGACGUGUCCCCGGAUGAGUGUACCUGAAGAAAAAGCAUCGGCUAACUCCGUGCCAGCAGCCGCGGUAAUACGGAGGAUGCGAGCGUUAUCCGGAUUUAUUGGGUUUAAAGGGUGCGCAGGCGGAAGAUCAAGUCAGCGGUAAAAUUGAGAGGCUCAACCUCUUCGAGCCGUUGAAACUGG